RNAcentral lists this non-coding RNA (18 nucleotides) under Arabidopsis thaliana (thale cress). Lineage: Eukaryota; Viridiplantae; Streptophyta; Magnoliopsida; Brassicales; Brassicaceae. The record is from RNAcentral.
GCCUGCUAACUAGCUACG